This 578-nucleotide long non-coding RNA is filed under the name Elaeis guineensis (African oil palm). RNAcentral describes it as "long non-coding RNA (EGUI_LNC015477)". Lineage: Eukaryota; Viridiplantae; Streptophyta; Magnoliopsida; Arecales; Arecaceae. The record is from RNAcentral.
UAUGGUGGGAGUUCUAGAUUUUCAAAGGCCUGGAUGUCAUAUCACUCACCUUUGCCAUCAGAAUACGAGCUCUCUCCAGGUUAAAUCUUACUAAGCUUCUCCUGGACUCAAAUAUGAGGCCAUUUCUGAUAAGCCAAAUAUAAUAGACCAUAUAUGUAGCAUAAGAAACCAUCACACCAGAGACAGCUCCCACAAUCCUAUGAAGGUGCUUCAAGAAUGCCUGAGUAGGAGCUGCAGUCUGAAUAAAAUGCUGGUGCAGUCCAGCAAGAUGCCAAACUUGCCUGGUCCUUGGGCACAAAAAUAAAAUAUGCUCUACCUUCUUUUCCUCUAACUCACAUCAUGGGCAAGUCGGCUUGAUCUCCAUACCUUGGCCCCUCAGAAUCGAUCUCAUAGAAAGUCGAUUCUAUGCCACCUUCUAAAGAAAAAGGCUCAUCUGCCAAUGUACCUCUACCUUCUCUUCCUUUAACUCACCGUAUGGGCAAGUCGACUGGAUCUCCAUACCCUGGCCCCUCAGAAUCGAUCUCGUCGAAAGCUGAUCUUAUGCCACAUUCCAAAGAAAGAGGCUCACCCACUAAUAU